RNAcentral lists this non-coding RNA (29 nucleotides) under Rattus norvegicus (Norway rat). Lineage: Eukaryota; Metazoa; Chordata; Mammalia; Rodentia; Muridae. The record is from RNAcentral.
CCUAAAUCUCUGGAGGAAAAUACUAGGAC